GUCCUGGUAGCUCAGUUGGCAGAGCACCUGUACGUGCUGAGCGCCUAGCAAAAACUGUCAGGAGGUCGCAGGGUCGAAGCCUGCCCGGGAUU
Meloidogyne enterolobii is the source of this 92-nucleotide non-coding RNA. The record is from the annotation of a GenBank genome assembly. Lineage: Eukaryota; Metazoa; Nematoda; Chromadorea; Rhabditida; Meloidogynidae.